Molecule: ribosomal RNA, 253 nt
Filed under: uncultured bacterium
Lineage: Bacteria
Description: partial 16S ribosomal RNA
Rfam family: Bacterial small subunit ribosomal RNA
Source: RNAcentral
UACGUAGGGUCCAAGCGUUAUCCGGAAUCACUGGGCGUAAAGCGUGCGUAGGUGGGCUGUUAGGUGAGAUGUGAAAGCGUGUGGCUCAACCAUAUCGUUGUGUUUCAUACUGGCAGACUAGAGGACAGCAGAGGCAAGUGGAAUUACGAGUGUAGCGGUAAUGUGCGUGGAUAUUCGUAGGAACACCAAUGGCGAAGGCAGCUUGCUGGGCUACUCCUGACACUGAGGUACGAAAGCGUGGGGAGCGAACAGG